GCGGUCGUGGCGGAAUUGGUAGACGCGCUAGUUUCAGGAGCUAGUAGUUCACAGCUGUGUGAGUUCGACUCUCAUCGACCGCACCA
This 86-nucleotide transfer RNA is filed under the name Candidatus Gastranaerophilales bacterium. Its description in RNAcentral is "tRNA-Leu". It matches the Rfam family "tRNA". Rfam says of the family: Transfer RNA (tRNA) molecules are approximately 80 nucleotides in length. The record is from RNAcentral. Lineage: Bacteria; Bacillati; Candidatus Melainabacteria; Candidatus Gastranaerophilales.